GUCUGACGCGGGCGCAAGCCUCCCCAGCUUCUGCGUCAGUCGUUCCCCCUCUGGAGGUCUAACCUUCACACCCUAAGGGCCGCGACUUUCGCUGGCCCUUUUUU
This 104-nucleotide small RNA is filed under the name Rhizobium sp. CECT 9324. RNAcentral describes it as "ar15". It matches the Rfam family "Alphaproteobacterial ar15". The record is from RNAcentral. Lineage: Bacteria; Pseudomonadati; Pseudomonadota; Alphaproteobacteria; Hyphomicrobiales; Rhizobiaceae.